RNAcentral lists this ribosomal RNA (613 nucleotides) under uncultured bacterium. Its description in RNAcentral is "bacterial SSU rRNA". It matches the Rfam family "Bacterial small subunit ribosomal RNA", at positions 888 to 1498 of the family's 1533-position model. The record is from RNAcentral.
GCAAGAUUAAAACUCAAAGGAAUUGACGGGGGCCCGCACAAGCGGUGGAGUAUGUGGUUUAAUUCGAUGCAACGCGAAGAACCUUACCUGGUCUUGACAUCUCAAGGAUCUCCUGGAAACAGGAGAGUGUUCUUUCGAGAAAACUUGAAGACAGGUGCUGCAUGGCUGUCGUCAGCUCAUGUCGUGAGAUGUUGGGUUAAGUCCCGCAACGAGCGCAACCCUCGCCAUUAGUUGCCAUCAUUUAGUUGGGCACUCUAAUGGGACUGCCGGUGUCAAACCGGAGGAAGGUGGGGAUGACGUCAAGUCCUCAUGGCCUUUAUGACCAGGGCUACACACGUACUACAAUGGCCGGUACAACGGGCAGCCACAGAGCGAUCUGGAGCAAAUCCCUAAAAGCCGGUCUCAGUCCGGAUUGGAGUCUGCAACUCGACUCCAUGAAGUUGGAAUCGCUAGUAAUCGUGGAUCAGCAUGCCACGGUGAAUACGUUCCCGGGCCUUGUACACACCGCCCGUCACACCACGGAAGUUGGUUGUACCAGAAGUAGUUGAGCGAACCUUCGGGACGCAGGCUACCAAGGUAUGGCUGGUAACUGGGGUGAAGUCGUAACAAGGUA